Molecule: ribosomal RNA, 1332 nt
Filed under: Curtobacterium flaccumfaciens pv. flaccumfaciens
Lineage: Bacteria; Bacillati; Actinomycetota; Actinomycetes; Micrococcales; Microbacteriaceae
Description: bacterial SSU rRNA
Rfam family: Bacterial small subunit ribosomal RNA
Source: RNAcentral
UGGAUUAGUGGCGAACGGGUGAGUAACACGUGAGUAACCUGCCCCUGACUCUGGGAUAAGCGUUGGAAACGACGUCUAAUACUGGAUAUGAUCACUGGCCGCAUGGUCUGGUGGUGGAAAGAUUUUUUGGUUGGGGAUGGACUCGCGGCCUAUCAGCUUGUUGGUGAGGUAAUGGCUCACCAAGGCGACGACGGGUAGCCGGCCUGAGAGGGUGACCGGCCACACUGGGACUGAGACACGGCCCAGACUCCUACGGGAGGCAGCAGUGGGGAAUAUUGCACAAUGGGCGAAAGCCUGAUGCAGCAACGCCGCGUGAGGGAUGACGGCCUUCGGGUUGUAAACCUCUUUUAGUAGGGAAGAAGCGAAAGUGACGGUACCUGCAGAAAAAGCACCGGCUAACUACGUGCCAGCAGCCGCGGUAAUACGUAGGGUGCAAGCGUUGUCCGGAAUUAUUGGGCGUAAAGAGCUCGUAGGCGGUUUGUCGCGUCUGCUGUGAAAUCCCGAGGCUCAACCUCGGGCUUGCAGUGGGUACGGGCAGACUAGAGUGCGGUAGGGGAGAUUGGAAUUCCUGGUGUAGCGGUGGAAUGCGCAGAUAUCAGGAGGAACACCGAUGGCGAAGGCAGAUCUCUGGGCCGUAACUGACGCUGAGGAGCGAAAGCAUGGGGAGCGAACAGGAUUAGAUACCCUGGUAGUCCAUGCCGUAAACGUUGGGCGCUAGAUGUAGGGACCUUUCCACGGUUUCUGUGUCGUAGCUAACGCAUUAAGCGCCCCGCCUGGGGAGUACGGCCGCAAGGCUAAAACUCAAAGGAAUUGACGGGGGCCCGCACAAGCGGCGGAGCAUGCGGAUUAAUUCGAUGCAACGCGAAGAACCUUACCAAGGCUUGACAUACACCGGAAACGGCCAGAGAUGGUCGCCCCCUUGUGGUCGGUGUACAGGUGGUGCAUGGUUGUCGUCAGCUCGUGUCGUGAGAUGUUGGGUUAAGUCCCGCAACGAGCGCAACCCUCGUUCUAUGUUGCCAGCGGGUUAUGCCGGGGACUCAUAGGAGACUGCCGGGGUCAACUCGGAGGAAGGUGGGGAUGACGUCAAAUCAUCAUGCCCCUUAUGUCUUGGGCUUCACGCAUGCUACAAUGGCCGGUACAAAGGGCUGCGAUACCGUAAGGUGGAGCGAAUCCCAAAAAGCCGGUCUCAGUUCGGAUUGAGGUCUGCAACUCGACCUCAUGAAGUCGGAGUCGCUAGUAAUCGCAGAUCAGCAACGCUGCGGUGAAUACGUUCCCGGGCCUUGUACACACCGCCCGUCAAGUCAUGAAAGUCGGUAACACCCGAAGCCGGUG